GCACUGUAACUGCAGUUCUGAAGACAACUCAUAUCUUAGAAGAAGUCUACAAAGAACAUACAGGAAAUACAGCCUUUCUGUUAACCACCAAAAUUUGCAUUUACAAACGCCUAACCGAAGCUAAACUCUCUAGCUCUCCUCUUUACCGCCUUUUUUACCUUUCUUUUGCUUCUGCUUCAAUUGCGUGAGGCCUGCAGCAGUAACCUUUACAUUGCCAAUAAUUGCAGCAACUAGUUCAGAAUCUGUACAUGCUUUCAUCAAUUCCUUCUCCCUGCUAGUUGCUUCUGGCAUGUGGCUGAACAAGUUCAUGGCAGUUUUUGCAGCUUUUCCUUUCUUUGCGGUGCCAGGAACAAUCUUCACACUAUACUUGUAUGACUGCACUGCAUUGUUGGGGCCACAGACAGGCACAGCAUAUAAGAAAAUGUCGCUAGGCAAUGGAAGGUUUUCAUUGUUAAACAACCUGAAAGGUUUUCAUUGGCAUCUAGUGCUAGCAUUUAAGGAAGAAUAAACAAUCAAAUGUCUAGAUUUACCAUAAAAACACGAUCAAAUAUCAACAAUAUUCCGUAAACUUAAAUCACAGGGUAUGGAACACAGACUGGUAACAGGUAUCUUCCCAUUGCCAGCAAGGGCAUUUCCAUUUUGCGUCUCUCCAUCUUUCUUGCGUGUAUUUCCAGCAGACUGAACAUUCAAAUGCAUUGUCAAUUUCAGCAUGAACACAAAAAAUAAGUCAGCAUCACUAGUACUAAUAUGACUCCUAUGUAAAUGCUUGAUAUGUCAACUGGCAGGAGGGCCUAACAGGCCCAAUUUUUCAGAGAGUUGUGAAACUAAUAAAUAUGACAACCUUGAAGACUGAAGCUAAGAUUCCACUACCAUACUAAAAUCCCACUGAAAAAAUAAAGCAAAAAAGAUAAAAAAAGAGAAGAAAAAAAAACCACUAAUGUAUAUAUUUAUUUUUUCAAGGGAAAAAAUUAGCUCAAAUCUUUGUAUUUGCGAGUGAUAGGUUCUCUGAGAGAAGCUACAAAAAUUUUGGCAAUAAUAAGUUAAAACAGAAACAUAGAGACACCAUGUAAUGAUAGAAGAAUUAUCUGAAAUGGAGCAAAAUGAUAUAAGGUGGAAAUGAAAGUUCUUGUACUCACUGCCAGUAAAGCCAUCCGAAUGCUUCUCUCUUCCUCAUCUUGAUUCGCAUAUUUCUCCUUCAUCUUCUUAAGUUUGCCCUUCUGCCCACGCCUGAUUUUUCCACUUCCAGCCUCACUAUUUUGGACACUCUUUUCAGAUUGACUGAUAGGAACACCACUUUCUUUUGAUUCUUCAUUUUCCAACUCAAUGUUUGCAUCUCCAGCACCAUUUUUGCGAUCCUUCUUGAGCUUUCUUCUUUCAGCCUUUGAGAUAUGAGGUUUAUCUCUCCCUGUCGCCUUCCUUUCCUCACAACCAUGAUCCUCAGACAAAUCAACCUUAGAUGUUUCAACUCCAUAAUGUUUUUGAGAUACAGCAGCAGGUCCCAGUCCAAGAGCUCUAUCAAUGAGAUCCUCAAGUUGUGGUGUAACAGAUGCAACACUGUUUCCAACAAUAUUGGAUGAAUCUUCCUUCUUGUCCCCACUGUUGGUAGUGUCUUGUGGAAGAAAUUUAUGUGGAUGCAUAACUUCAGCAUUGGAGACAUUCAAGUUAACAGUAAUAUUUUUUGAUUCUAACACAUGUUCUUUGUCUGUUACUUCUUUCUCUGACUCAGAAUCAGAAACUUCUUGGAGAGGUCCACUUUCUUCAAAGUCAUUCAUCCCUUCCUCCUCACCACGUACUCUCCUUUCAUUUAAAUGUGAUCCUAAAGAGCUCUCAUCUAAGCGAAAUAACAACCCAAAGCCCAUUAUAAGAGGAUGUGGGGGAAGAAAGUUCUUCUUCCCACGUAUCAUGAAACUUCCAACAGUGAGAUACUCCCCCGUAGGAGCAGUUUUACUGACCUGAUGAGGGUACACCCACCAAGCACUAGUGACAAUCUUUGAAUCCCAUGCCUGGCUGUGGCAAACUGUAAAACAUCCAGCUUGGUUUAAAGUGAGAGGAGGCACAGGUUGUUCAGGCCUAUGAUUCUUGAUCACAGUACUAGAAGCUCCAUGCAGAUCUGCAUGGACAUACAGAUCUCCUUUUGACAUAUAACGCUUGACUAUUAUCUCAUUUUGUUGAGCAUCACGUCCACUAAUAACCAAAUAAUUCUCACUGCUGAUGAACCAAUCAAAUUUCUCAAACCAGUGAACUUUGCGCAUAUGUGAUAUAGUGGCAACAGAUUUCUCCUGUGAAAGCUGGAGACGAGUCUUUCUCUCAGCUGCUUUAAAAGCUUUUUCAUGAGCUGUAACAGUCUUUUCCUGUUUACUUUCUUGCUUUUUCUUCUGAUCAUACCAUCUCCGAGCAUUGGCAUGUGCAGAAAGUGCCAAAUCCACUUCCACCUUGUCAACCGGAAGCGUCUUUUCAUCAUCAUCCAUGUCAUCAAGAUUGUUGCUCAAAAGCAAUGUCAUGCAGUUUCUUUCAAGGUGGAGCUUGUCAAUAAGGCCAGCCACAGGGUUCCCCAACUUCUUCUCUUCCUUCACCAUACGAGUAAGAUCCUCCCAACUCAUUCCCUUUGCAAGAGCUAUACGAACAGCCAAUAUAGCAGCAUCUACAUCUUCUAAGUUGUAUUCUAUUAAUUCUGCCAUUCUAACACAGUGGUCUACUUCUUUCCUCAAUGUUAGCACUCGACUUUCCUGAUCCAGGCGUAUUUUAUUUAGUUUCUGAUUAGCAGAGUCCUCUUUUGCCUUUUGCUGUUGUUCUGACCUUUGACUCUCAAUUUUGCUGUAAAAUUCAUCCAAUGCUGCAUCAAAUGUAUCAAAUUUCAUAUGUUCCCUCGUCUUGAAUUGGUUCAGUAAUAUGGGGCAGAAUUCAUCAUAGAUCUGGCAAGCACUUCCAGAUUCAGAUGGGCUGCGGUCCUUUUCCAAAUUUUUAUUCUGCAUCAAAAUGUAUCCUCCAGGAACUUUGUCUCCUGAAAUAACAUCUUGGAGCCAAUCUUCAAAUUUUGCAACAGCAUGAACCAAAACCUGCAUUGCAUUAUCAUCUAACCUAUUAUUUUUAGAAAUUUUCAUAUUCGGGAUCUGACCAGCAUCCAAUAUCAUGUGCUCGGAAAGUGCAGGACCAUAGCCCAAUGCCUCCCCAAUAAGAUUCUUUAGUGUGACUUGUUUGGCACGACUUCCAUGACUAGCAUUUUUACUCAAGUCAGAAGAUUUACCACCCUUAUGCGUACCCUGCUUUUCUUUUUGAGCCUUAUCAGACAUAUUAUUUUCAUCGUCAUUAACAGGUUCAAUGUUUUCAGGCUCCUUAAAGGAUGUAAGAGUUUCUUGCAGUUUAGCAGUAGUUGUUCGCUCAAAAACUCGGCAAAUUUCAGUAGGAUAUCGAUGCCUUGACAUGAUUGCAAACCCUUUAUCAUCAUCCCUGUGAGACCGAAGAAGAGUGAGAACUGUAAACUCAGAAUCAGUGAGCAGAAUAUUUCCUUGCGCAUACAACUCCAAUAUAACAUAGUGUGCAUUAGUUCCAAGUCCAAAUUGGAACAGAACAAUCCUAUCAUAUCCAAGCUGCCUCACGUCCUCACGCCUCCUUGUACGUAUAUGCUUUCUUAAUUUUAGCGUAAACCCAGAAGGUGUAUUACUUUCGUCCCGAACGUAAGCAGUAGUAUGCAAGCGGACACCGCUUUCCAUCAAGAGCAAAACUUUCUCACUCUCUCCUGAUUCAGUUACGCCACUGCUAUUCAUUAGCUUGAAUACAUAAGUCUUUGGAGAAAGAUCAUAGACAUUAGAGCAGCGCAUGCCGAUUAAGCUCCGCAAGCACUUGACCUCUGCUGCCACAUCGGCCAUGUUCAUCCGCACCUUCACCAUAUCUUCUCCCCAUUCAGCUCUCUCUCUCUCUCUCUCUCUC
This 3927-nucleotide unclassified non-coding RNA is filed under the name Hevea brasiliensis (rubber tree). Lineage: Eukaryota; Viridiplantae; Streptophyta; Magnoliopsida; Malpighiales; Euphorbiaceae. The record is from RNAcentral.